AACGGGGAGCAGCCCAGAGCCUGAAUCAGUGUGUGUGUUAGUGGAAGCGUCUGGAAAGGCGCGCGAUACAGGGUGACAGCCCCGUACACAAAAAUGCACAUACUGUGAGCUCGAUGAGUAGGGCGGGACACGUGGUAUCCUGUCUGAAUAUGGGGGGACCAUCCUCCAAGGCUAAAUACUCCUGACUGACCGAUAGUGAACCAGUACCGUGAGGGAAAGGCGAAAAGAACCCCGGCGAGGGGAGUGAAAAAGAACCUGAAACCGUGUACGUACAAGCAGUGGGAGCACGCUUAGGCGUGUGACUGCGUACCUUUUGUAUAAUGGGUCAGCGACUUAUAUUCUGUAGCAAGGUUAACCGAAUAGGGGAGCCGAAGGGAAACCGAGUCUUAACUGGGCGUUAAGUUGCAGGGUAUAGACCCGAAACCCGGUGAUCUAGCCAUGGGCAGGUUGAAGGUUGGGUAACACUAACUGGAGGACCGAACCGACUAAUGUUGAAAAAUUAGCGGAUGACUUGUGGCUGGGGGUGAAAGGCCAAUCAAACCGGGAGAUAGCUGGUUCUCCCCGAAAGCUAUUUAGGUAGCGCCUCGUGAAUUCAUCUCCGGGGGUAGAGCACUGUUUCGGCAAGGGGGUCAUCCCGACUUACCAACCCGAUGCAAACUGCGAAUACCGGAGAAUGUUAUCACGGGAGACACACGGCGGGUGCUAACGUCCGUCGUGAAGAGGGAAACAACCCAGACCGCCAGCUAAGGUCCCAAAGUCAUGGUUAAGUGGGAAACGAUGUGGGAAGGCCCAGACAGCCAGGAUGUUGGCUUAGAAGCAGCCAUCAUUUAAAGAAAGCGUAAUAGCUCACUGGUCGAGUCGGCCUGCGCGGAAGAUGUAACGGGGCUAAACCAUGCACCGAAGCUGCGGCAGCGACGCUUAUGCGUUGUUGGGUAGGGGAGCGUUCUGUAAGCCUGCGAAGGUGUGCUGUGAGGCAUGCUGGAGGUAUCAGAAGUGCGAAUGCUGACAUAAGUAACGAUAAAGCGGGUGAAAAGCCCGCUCGCCGGAAGACCAAGGGUUCCUGUCCAACGUUAAUCGGGGCAGGGUGAGUCGACCCCUAAGGCGAGGCCGAAAGGCGUAGUCGAUGGGAAACAGGUUAAUAUUCCUGUACUUGGUGUUACUGCGAAGGGGGGACGGAGAAGGCUAUGUUGGCCGGGCGACGGUUGUCCCGGUUUAAGCGUGUAGGCUGGUUUUCCAGGCAAAUCCGGAAAAUCAAGGCUGAGGCGUGAUGACGAGGCACUACGGUGCUGAAGCAACAAAUGCCCUGCUUCCAGGAAAAGCCUCUAAGCAUCAGGUAACAUCAAAUCGUACCCCAAACCGACACAGGUGGUCAGGUAGAGAAUACCAAGGCGCUUGAGAGAACUCGGGUGAAGGAACUAGGCAAAAUGGUGCCGUAACUUCGGGAGAAGGCACGCUGAUAUGUAGGUGAAGUCCCUCGCGGAUGGAGCUGAAAUCAGUCGAAGAUACCAGCUGGCUGCAACUGUUUAUUAAAAACACAGCACUGUGCAAACACGAAAGUGGACGUAUACGGUGUGACGCCUGCCCGGUGCCGGAAGGUUAAUUGAUGGGGUCAGCGCAAGCGAAGCUCUUGAUCGAAGCCCCGGUAAACGGCGGCCGUAACUAUAACGGUCCUAAGGUAGCGAAAUUCCUUGUCGGGUAAGUUCCGACCUGCACGAAUGGCGUAAUGAUGGCCAGGCUGUCUCCACCCGAGACUCAGUGAAAUUGAACUCGCUGUGAAGAUGCAGUGUACCCGCGGCAAGACGGAAAGACCCCGUGAACCUUUACUAUAGCUUGACACUGAACAUUGAGCCUUGAUGUGUAGGAUAGGUGGGAGGCUUUGAAGUGUGGACGCCAGUCUGCAUGGAGCCGACCUUGAAAUACCACCCUUUAAUGUUUGAUGUUCUAACGUUGACCCGUAAUCCGGGUUGCGGACAGUGUCUGGUGGGUAGUUUGACUGGGGCGGUCUCCUCCUAAAGAGUAACGGAGGAGCACGAAGGUUGGCUAAUCCUGGUCGGACAUCAGGAGGUUAGUGCAAUGGCAUAAGCCAGCUUGACUGCGAGCGUGACGGCGCGAGCAGGUGCGAAAGCAGGUCAUAGUGAUCCGGUGGUUCUGAAUGGAAGGGCCAUCGCUCAACGGAUAAAAGGUACUCCGGGGAUAACAGGCUGAUACCGCCCAAGAGUUCAUAUCGACGGCGGUGUUUGGCACCUCGAUGUCGGCUCAUCACAUCCUGGGGCUGAAGUAGGUCCCAAGGGUAUGGCUGUUCGCCAUUUAAAGUGGUACGCGAGCUGGGUUUAGAACGUCGUGAGACAGUUCGGUCCCUAUCUGCCGUGGGCGCUGGAGAACUGAGGGGGGCUGCUCCUAGUACGAGAGGACCGGAGUGGACGCAUCACUGGUGUUCGGGUUGUCAUGCCAAUGGCACUGCCCGGUAGCUAAAUGCGGAAGAGAUAAGUGCUGAAAGCAUCUAAGCACGAAACUUGCCCCGAGAUGAGUUCUCCCUGACCCUUUAAGGGUCCUGAAGGAACGUUGAAGACGACGACGUUGAUAGGCCGGGUGUGUAAGCGCAGCGAUGCGUUGAGCUAACCGGUACUAAUGAACCGUGAGGCUUAACCUUACAACGCCGAAGCUGUU
Molecule: ribosomal RNA, 2667 nt
Filed under: Escherichia coli
Lineage: Bacteria; Pseudomonadati; Pseudomonadota; Gammaproteobacteria; Enterobacterales; Enterobacteriaceae
Description: partial 23S ribosomal RNA
Rfam family: Bacterial large subunit ribosomal RNA
Source: RNAcentral